Daphnia magna is the source of this 1277-nucleotide long non-coding RNA. RefSeq lists it as uncharacterized. The record is from RefSeq and is a predicted model, not a curated record. Lineage: Eukaryota; Metazoa; Arthropoda; Branchiopoda; Diplostraca; Daphniidae. The transcript is spliced from 3 exons.
CGGUUUCAUUUUCGAGCUGCACGAUGUCUUGUUCGUGCCUCUUUGUACCAUUUUGCCACUGAGAAAUUAUUCAUUCGUGAAAAUCCCGUUUGAGAAUCCACACGAAACCCACUUCACAAGGCCAAAAGGUGCCGUUACCUGGCUGAUUACGGCGAACAUAAAAUAAGCAUUAGACCAUUCCGUGAUUCACAUCUGUUGUCAUCUAAUCUCGUCAAGUAAACACAGUCAAAAUGUCUCACGACAAAACUUCGGCCUUGAGCAUUAUCAUCUACAACACACUUGUGAUGUUUUGCCUACCUUAAUCGAUUCUUGGUAUUGAGGAAAUGUCUCGCUAGACAUUGACAAUGACGCAGUCAGGAUUCCCGUGAGCAUUUGUUUAGAAAAUGUGUAAACAUCCAGGAACUUUUAUCCCGUAUCAUAUUGAACAAAUAAAGAAACCCACAUAUCUCGAGACGCAGUAACGGCUUGUGUAUUGAAAAUUGAUGAAAAGAAACACUCCCACUUGACAAUGAGAAAAGUUGAUUACAGAAGGCUUACAGAGAUAAUUCACCUUUUUUCCUGGACGACGUUCUCGGCGUAGUUUGCAACAAUGUCUGCUUCUCCGGAUUGUUGUGAUUCUGAAGAUUUCCUGAGUGGCUCGAAAAAAGAAAAUAGUUUCGUGUUUAGUUCGAGAAGUCUUUGAACAAUUCAGUGGAGAUAAAAGUUAGGAUUUCAGGGCGAUUUCUAGUUGAUUUUAUCUUCAGCCCUACUCUCCGAUUAAUGGAAAACUUAGAAUUCUCUGUAACUUCUCUUUCGAAAAAUGGUUUUGAGAGAAACUAGUAGUUUCUAGUAUCACCGAAAAAUGCUGAAUUAUUGUUGUCACCUUGCUUACUAAUUUUAGCCCAUUAUCCGAAAUUGGUAUUGAUUUUUUGGGUUAAUCAUUUGCAUGUUUUUGUCUCCUUUUUGCGAACCCUGCCUCCUUCCUGGGAUUUUCCUGAAAAUAGUUGGCCUUGAAUAUUUUUGCUUUGGGUUGACACGUACCACAACUAAAUUACUGAUGAAUAUUAUGCAAAAAAUUUUCCACCCCUUCCCCUCUACCGUUUUCACAAUUUGCGUGUUUCUUACCCUGCCUACCUCAACCUUAAAACUAAACUUGAUGAAUUUCGUCGUACAACCUUUUUUUUUUGUUUUGUGAUACCCACGUUUUUCCUAGAGUAACUCAAACGGACGUGUAGCUGACUAUGUAAACGUUGACACUUGAAUGUGUUAAGAGCUUAAGACAAUCCUUCAAAAAUCAA